UGUGUGUGUGUGUACAUGUCAAGUUGGCUC
RNAcentral lists this non-coding RNA (30 nucleotides) under Homo sapiens (human). Lineage: Eukaryota; Metazoa; Chordata; Mammalia; Primates; Hominidae. The record is from RNAcentral.